AACGAACGCUGGCGGCAUGCCUAACACAUGCAAGUCGAACGAGACCUUCGGGUCUAGUGGCGCACGGGUGCGUAACGCGUGGGAACCUGCCCUUAGGUUCGGAAUAACUCCCCGAAAGGGGUGCUAAUACCGGAUAAUGUCUUCGGACCAAAGAUUUAUCGCCUUUGGAUGGGCCCGCGUUGGAUUAGCUAGUUGGUAGGGUAAAAGCCUACCAAGGCGACGAUCCAUAGCUGGUCUGAGAGGAUGAUCAGCCACACUGGGACUGAGACACGGCCCAGACUCCUACGGGAGGCAGCAGUGGGGAAUAUUGGACGAUGGGCGAAAGCCUGAUCCAGCAAUGCCGCGUGAGUUAUGAAGGCCUUAGGGUUGUAAAGCUCUUUUACCCGGGAUGAUAAUGACAGUACCGGGAGAAUAAGCUCCGGCUAACUCCGUG
Molecule: ribosomal RNA, 433 nt
Filed under: uncultured bacterium
Lineage: Bacteria
Description: partial 16S ribosomal RNA
Rfam family: Bacterial small subunit ribosomal RNA
Source: RNAcentral